GCCCUUUUCCGGUUGAUCCCGCCGGACCCCACUGCUAUCGGGAUAGGACUAAGACAUGCUAGUCGAGCGCUUCAGCCAAAACGAGGCGCGGCAUACAGCUCAGUAACACGUGGCUAAUCUGCCCUUAGGACAGGAACAACCCCGGGAAACUGGGGCUAAUUCUCAAUAGGCGAAGAACUCUGGAAUGAGUCUUCACCAGAAAAGAGCCUGCGUUAUGCUCGUAGGUUUCGCCUAAGGAUGAGGCCGCGACCGAUCAGGUUGUUGGUGAGGUAAUGGCUCACCAAGCCUUUUACCGGUGCGGGCCGUGAGAGCGGGAGCCCGGAGAUGGGCACUGAGACAAGGGCCCAGGCCCUACGGGGCGCAGCAGUCGCGAAAACUUUGCAAUACACGAAAGUGUGACAGGGCUAUCCCGAGUGCCAUCCGCUGAGGAAGGCUUUUACCCAGUCUAGAACGCUGGGGGAAUAAGGAGAGGGCAAGUCUGGUGUCAGCCGCCGCGGUAAUACCAGCUCUCCGAGUGGUGUGGAUGUUUAUUGGGCCUAAAGCAUCCGUAGCUGGCUAAGUUAGUCCCUUGUUAAAUCCACCGAAUUAAUCGUUGGAUUGCGGGGGAUACUGCUCGGCUAGGGGACGAGAGAGGCAGACGGUAUUUCCGGGGUAGGGGUGAAAUCCUAUAAUCCCGGGAAGACCACCAGUGGCGAAGGCUGUCUGCUAGAACGCGCCCGACGGUGAGGGAUGAAAGCUGGGGGAGCGAACCGGAUUAGAUACCCGGGU
RNAcentral lists this ribosomal RNA (768 nucleotides) under uncultured archaeon. RNAcentral describes it as "bacterial SSU rRNA". It matches the Rfam family "Archaeal small subunit ribosomal RNA", at positions 1 to 742 of the family's 1478-position model. The record is from RNAcentral.